GACGAACGCUGGCGGCGUGCUUAACACAUGCAAGUCGAACGAUGAAGCCGGAGCUUGCUCUGGUGAAUUAGUGGCGAACGGGUGAGUAACACGUGAGUAACCUGCCCUUGACUCUGGGAUAACUGCGGGAAACUGUAGCUAAUACCGGAUACGACCCUCGGAGGCAUCUCCUGGGGGUGGAAAGAAUUUCGGUCAAGGAUGGACUCGCGGCCUAUCAGCUAGUUGGUGAGGUAAAGGCUCACCAAGGCGACGACGGGUAGCCGGCCUGAGAGGGUGACCGGCCACACUGGGACUGAGACACGGCCCAGACUCCUACGGGAGGCGGCAGUGGGGAAUAUUGCACAAUGGGCGCAAGCCUGAUGCAGCAACGCCGCGUGAGGGAUGACGGCCUUCGGGUUGUGAACCUCUUUUAGCAGGGAAGAAGCGAAAGUGACGGUACCUGCAGAAAAAGCACCGGCUAACUACGUGCCAGCCGCCGCAGUAA
This 484-nucleotide ribosomal RNA is filed under the name uncultured bacterium. RNAcentral's name for it is "partial 16S ribosomal RNA". It matches the Rfam family "Bacterial small subunit ribosomal RNA", at positions 28 to 523 of the family's 1533-position model. The record is from RNAcentral.